This 380-nucleotide unclassified non-coding RNA is filed under the name uncultured Pseudomonadota bacterium. RNAcentral describes it as "uncultured proteobacterium contains 16S-23S intergenic spacer region". The record is from RNAcentral. Lineage: Bacteria; Pseudomonadati; Pseudomonadota.
UCCGGCUUAACGCCGGCAGUCCCCCCAGAGUCCCCGGCCGAACCGCUGGCAACUGGGAGCGAGGGUUGCGCUCGUUGCGGGACUUAACCCAACAUCUCACGACACGAGCUGACGACAGCCAUGCAGCACCUGUGUUCCAGGCUCCGAAGAGAGGGUCACAUCUCUGCGACCGGUCCUGGACAUGUCAAGGGCUGGUAAGGUUCUGCGCGUUGCGUCGAAUUAAACCACAUGCUCCACCGCUUGUGCGGGCCCCCGUCAAUUCCUUUGUGUUUCAGUCUUGCGACCGUACUCCCCAGGCGGCGAACUUAACGCGUUAGCUUCGACACUGAGAGCCUGAUUGCUCCCAACGUCCAGUUCGCAUCGUUUAGGGCGUGGACUAC